AUACGCAAACAACACCACGCUUUUAUUUCAUUCAUUUUACACUCGACCAGUUUAUGAAUUAGCAUCAAAAGGUUAAGAUGAAUAUAAUAUUUGCCUUAACUUCAAUAUUAUGUAUAUUCAGCUAUACCCGAGCAUUUAGCCAUUCGGAAAAAAUAGAAAUCUUUUGUGCGAUAAAUUACACAUAUUUGUUAAGAUUCGUGAACUGUACCAUUGCUCGAAGCUCGGAAUUCUAUCAAAAGGCGAGCGAUGUUUUAUACGAAUGUUUUAAUCAAUAUUACGAAAAUAGA
Molecule: long non-coding RNA, 287 nt
Filed under: Centruroides sculpturatus (bark scorpion)
Lineage: Eukaryota; Metazoa; Arthropoda; Arachnida; Scorpiones; Buthidae
Description: uncharacterized LOC111634080
Source: RNAcentral